UUUCCGUAGGUGAACCUGCGGAAGGAUCAUUAAAGAGUAAGGGUCUUCGGGCCCGAUCUCCAACCCUUUGUUUAACUACCAUGUUGCUUUGGCGGGCCCGUCUCACGACCGCCGGAAGUUUGGCUUCGACCAAACUUCUGGCCCGUGCCCGUCAGUGGCCCCUUCAAAUUCUUGAUCAAGUAUGAUGUCUUAGUUAAAAACUUAAUAGUUAAAACAUUCAACAACGGAUCUCUUGGUUCUG
RNAcentral lists this unclassified non-coding RNA (241 nucleotides) under plant metagenome. RNAcentral describes it as "partial contains small subunit ribosomal RNA, internal transcribed spacer 1, and 5.8S ribosomal RNA". The record is from RNAcentral.